AUACGUAGGGGGCGAGCGUUGUCCGGAAUUACUGGGCGUAAAGAGCGCGUAGGCGGCUCUGCAAGUCGCUUGUGAAAGCCCCAGGCUUAACCUGGGGAUUGCAGGCGAAACUGCGGAGCUUGAGUGCGGUAGAGGAAAGUGGAAUUCCUAGUGUAGCGGUAAAAUGCGCAGAUAUUAGGAGGAACACCAGUGGCGAAGGCGACUUUCUGGGCCGCAACUGACGCUGAGGCGCGAAAGCGUGGGGAGC
RNAcentral lists this ribosomal RNA (247 nucleotides) under uncultured bacterium. RNAcentral's name for it is "partial 16S ribosomal RNA". It matches the Rfam family "Bacterial small subunit ribosomal RNA", at positions 523 to 769 of the family's 1533-position model. The record is from RNAcentral.